This 713-nucleotide ribosomal RNA is filed under the name Bacillus sp. BLDJ 7. RNAcentral's name for it is "bacterial SSU rRNA". It matches the Rfam family "Bacterial small subunit ribosomal RNA", at positions 386 to 1090 of the family's 1533-position model. The record is from RNAcentral. Lineage: Bacteria; Bacillati; Bacillota; Bacilli; Caryophanales; Bacillaceae.
ACGGAGCAACGCCGCGUGAGUGAUGAAGGUUUUCGGAUCGUAAAGCUCUGUUGUUAGGGAAGAACAAGUGCAAGAGUAACUGCUUGCACCAUGACGGUACCUAACCAGAAAGCCACGGCUAACUACGUGCCAGCAGCCGCGGUAAUACGUAGGUGGCAAGCGUUGUCCGGAAUUAUUGGGCGUAAAGGGCUCGCAGGCGGUUUCUUAAGUCUGAUGUGAAAGCCCCCGGCUCAACCGGGGAGGGUCAUUGGAAACUGGGAAACUUGAGUGCAGAAGAGGAGAGUGGAAUUCCACGUGUAGCGGUGAAAUGCGUAGAGAUGUGGAGGAACACCAGUGGCGAAGGCGACUCUCUGGUCUGUAACUGACGCUGAGGAGCGAAAGCGUGGGGAGCGAACAGGAUUAGAUACCCUGGUAGUCCACGCCGUAAACGAUGAGUGCUAAGUGUUAGGGGGUUUCCGCCCCUUAGUGCUGCAGCUAACGCAUUAAGCACUCCGCCUGGGGAGUACGGUCGCAAGACUGAAACUCAAAGGAAUUGACGGGGGCCCGCACAAGCGGUGGAGCAUGUGGUUUAAUUCGAAGCAACGCGAAGAACCUUACCAGGUCUUGACAUCCUCUGACAACCCUAGAGAUAGGGCUUUCCCUUCGGGGACAGAGUGACAGGUGGUGCAUGGUUGUCGUCAGCUCGUGUCGGGAGAUGUUGGGGUUAAUCCCGC